Molecule: ribosomal RNA, 340 nt
Filed under: uncultured Pseudomonadota bacterium
Lineage: Bacteria; Pseudomonadati; Pseudomonadota
Description: bacterial SSU rRNA
Rfam family: Bacterial small subunit ribosomal RNA
Source: RNAcentral
GAUGAACGCUGGCGGCGUGCUUAACACAUGCAAGUCGAGCGAGAAUUUUUAAUCGGAAGCUUCGGCCGAAGAUUGAAAAGGAAAGCGGCGGACGGGUGAGUAACGCGUGGGUAACCUGCCUUAUACUGGGGGAUAACAUAUUGAAAAGUAUGCUAAUACCGCAUAAGCGCACAGCAUCACAUGAUGCAGUGUGAAAAACUCCGGUGGUAUAAGAUGGACCCGCGUCUGAUUAGCUAGUAGGUGAGGUAACGGCUCACCUAGGCGACGAUCAGUAGCCGGCCUGAGAGGGCGAUCGGCCACAUUGGGACUGAGACACGGCCCAAACUCCUACGGGUGGCUG